GACGAACGCUGGCGGCGUGCUUAACACAUGCAAGUCGAACGGACUACUUUGCUUCGGUAAGGUGGUAGUGGCGAACGGGUGAGUAACGCGUAGACAACCUACCUCUUAGAUGGGGACAACAUCGCGAAAGCGGUGCUAAUACCGAAUGAAGUGACUUUCCUGCAUGGGAGAGAUACUAAAGGUGGCCUCUAUUUAUAAGCUACCACUGAGAGAUGGGUCUGCGUCUGAUUAGCUAGUUGGCGGGGUAACGGCCCACCAAGGCGACGAUCAGUAGCCGGUCUGAGAGGAUGAACGGCCACAUUGGGACAGCGACACGGCCCAAACUCCUACGGGAGGUAGCAGUGGGGAAUCUUCCGCAAUGGACGAAAGUCUGACGGAGCAACGCCGCGUGAGUGAAGAAGGUUUUCGGAUCGUAAAGCUCUGUUGUUUGAGACGAAUGUGCCUGUUUCGAAUAGGGAUAGGUAACGACGGUAUUAAACGAGAAAGCCACGGCUAACUACGUGCCAGCAGCCGCCGUAA
RNAcentral lists this ribosomal RNA (519 nucleotides) under uncultured bacterium. RNAcentral's name for it is "partial 16S ribosomal RNA". It matches the Rfam family "Bacterial small subunit ribosomal RNA", at positions 28 to 523 of the family's 1533-position model. The record is from RNAcentral.